GACAGAGGGUGCAAACGUUGUUCGGAAUUACUGGGCGUAAAGCGCGUGUAGGCGGCCCUGCAAGUCGGGUGUGAAAUCCCACGGCUCAACCGUGGAAGUGCACUCGAAACUGCAGGGCUAGAGUCCUGGAGAGGAAGGUGGAAUGCUUGGUGUAGAGGUGAAAUUCGUAGAUAUCGGGAGGAACAUCAGUGGCGAAGGCGGCCAUCUGGAUCAACACUGACGCUGAGGCACGAAGGCGUGGGGAGCAAACAGG
RNAcentral lists this ribosomal RNA (253 nucleotides) under uncultured bacterium. Its description in RNAcentral is "partial 16S ribosomal RNA". It matches the Rfam family "Bacterial small subunit ribosomal RNA", at positions 524 to 776 of the family's 1533-position model. The record is from RNAcentral.